Molecule: unclassified non-coding RNA, 200 nt
Filed under: Inocybe sp.
Lineage: Eukaryota; Fungi; Basidiomycota; Agaricomycetes; Agaricales; Inocybaceae
Description: partial internal transcribed spacer 2
Source: RNAcentral
UUAAGUUCAGCGGGUAGUCCUACCUGAUUUGAGGUCAAGUUUGUCAAGUUAUUUUCGUCGUUGUAAGCAGCGCAAUCUGUUCAUGCAGCAUACCAAAGGCAUAGAUAAUUUAUCACACCUAUAGUAGCAGCUCAGAUGCCACUAAUGCGUUUCAGGGGAGCCGACCUUUGAGAAUUCAAAAAGCCUGCAAAGACCCCCAC